Molecule: long non-coding RNA, 372 nt
Filed under: Apis florea (little honeybee)
Lineage: Eukaryota; Metazoa; Arthropoda; Insecta; Hymenoptera; Apidae
Description: uncharacterized LOC116414490, transcript variant X2
Source: RNAcentral
GCAGCGUGUGGGUGGAGUCAUGCGAUAGAGGGAAAAGGUCUCCCUGUAACAUCACUGCUGUCCUCUUCUCUUGUUCUCGUGCAUACUGCUCGAUCUGAGAAACGAGUAUAUACGUCUCGCCCUCCGUCUUCCGUUCUCGGCUGCUCCCGCGCUGUUGUUGUCGCUACCGGGACGCACGCAGACCCCUUCGAAACCGAGGUGCAUGUGGCAUUUCUACGUACACCGCCCGGAACUUAUGUAGCACGGGCAAUCAUGGUCAUCUCGAACGUCUUUUCAGUGGCAAUCUCGAAAGAUCGGUUGCAGUGUUGCCUUGUCGCAGACUACAAUCAUAUCAAUAUAUGUAUGAAUAUGAGAGAUAACAAAACGCAAUAA